CACCACAGCCAUAUCACCCUGCAGCCCAAGACUGGUUGCCCACUGAACCUAAGCAGGGCUGAGCCUGACUUUCACGUCGCUGCGGAGG
RNAcentral lists this ribosomal RNA (88 nucleotides) under Sinocyclocheilus anshuiensis. The record is from RNAcentral. Lineage: Eukaryota; Metazoa; Chordata; Actinopteri; Cypriniformes; Cyprinidae.